AAUCGGGUAGUUCAAUUGGUAGAACAUCACACUGAUAAUGUGAAGGUUGUGGGUUCGAGUCCCAUCCCGAUUA
RNAcentral lists this transfer RNA (73 nucleotides) under Cellulophaga phage phi17:2. It matches the Rfam family "tRNA". From Rfam's summary of the family: Transfer RNA (tRNA) molecules are approximately 80 nucleotides in length. Their secondary structure includes four short double-helical elements and three loops (D, anti-codon, and T loops). RNAcentral also lists the same sequence under 4 other names. The record is from Rfam by way of RNAcentral. Lineage: Duplodnaviria; Heunggongvirae; Uroviricota; Caudoviricetes.